UUAUGCGAUGAAAUCAUUUUGAUCUAAAUUUGCCGCCCCUGAGCUCUCCACACUGAAGAUGUGAAACCCCAGAAGUUGAGGGGGUGAUCGAGUCUGUAGUAACGAACCGAAACCAGUUUAGAAUUGUAAACUUUAACUUAAAUCUGUACUGUGUCCGCCAUUGUUGUCAGACUCAGACUCAGUUAAACUUGCUAUGAUAUGAUACGGAAAGUAUUGUUGUGAUCUGUUUACAGUGCAUUAAGAUUGUACCCGUUUGGCAUCAACCAGAGCACCGUUACUAUCGAGGAUUGUAUUUCACCUAAAUACCAUUUCUCCAAGCCCAGACUGAUUUUUAAAAGUUAAAUAUAUCUUUAAAACCUGAAACAUAGUUGCUUCUCCUCCAUGAGAUCCUGGUUUACUUACUGGACACUCUCCAACAGUUCUUUAAAUAAUUAGAAAGAUGUUAAUAAAUUAUUUUUAAUUAUUU
Eurytemora carolleeae is the source of this 466-nucleotide long non-coding RNA. RefSeq lists it as uncharacterized. The transcript has 2 exons. The record is from RefSeq and is a predicted model, not a curated record. NCBI's taxonomy places the organism in Eukaryota, Metazoa, Arthropoda, Copepoda, Calanoida, Temoridae.